RNAcentral lists this long non-coding RNA (363 nucleotides) under Numida meleagris (helmeted guineafowl). RNAcentral describes it as "lncRNA (ENSNMEG00000000578.1)". The record is from RNAcentral. Lineage: Eukaryota; Metazoa; Chordata; Aves; Galliformes; Numididae.
AUGAGCAGUGUGAGCCCCCAGAAGGUAACACAAGAGCUUGUGCUACUUGACAGAAAGAGGCAAACCUCUGCAAUAAGCAACUCAGGAGACCUAAAAGAAGAGGACACCUCAUCAGGGAUCAUCACCUCCACCAGAUGGGCCAUUAAGAGAGAGACACAUGCACGUCCUUGCACAAGAAAAGAGAUUCUUCACCUUCUGCCAUCGUAUUGUCACAGCAGCUCAUGUUUAUUGUGAAUGACAUCUUCAGCUACAACUCAGCAUGAGCUCCAGCAUGCUGGAGCUGAACAUCCUACCAGGAAAAAUCAGCAGUGACAUUAAAAUUGUUUCAUGAAUAAUGAAAAAAUAAAUAUCACAUUAACUGCA